Arachis ipaensis is the source of this 791-nucleotide non-coding RNA. Lineage: Eukaryota; Viridiplantae; Streptophyta; Magnoliopsida; Fabales; Fabaceae. The record is from RefSeq and is a predicted model, not a curated record.
UUUCAGCGGAAGUAUGUAGGUUAGGUCAUGCCCUAAAAUUUAUUCGUAUCUCCAACAAGAUUAAAAAGUAAGUAAAGUAAUUAAAUUAUAUUGACAACUUGGCUCUUUUAGAAGGCAAAAAGGCUUACUAAGUAAUACUAAAUGUUAAAGUCCGGAACUAUGAACGUUGUUGUAGACAUAAAGUAAGUAGAAUUUUAAGCCUCUAUGCAGUUCACAUUUUCUUUUUAAAGACUUUAAUUGGUUUUAGUUCUCAAUAUUUCUAUUUCUCAUUUUAAGAAAUUGAUUAAAAUAAUAUUUGUUUUUCCCAAAACUUACUUUUUCUUUAUUCACUUUUUACUUUGCAAAACUUCUAAAAUAGAAAACACAAACUCGAAACAAAAUAGGCUCUUAUUUUUCUUCCCUAGUAGCAAGAUCAUUAUUCGCCAUGAAAAGGAAUGUAAGAAUAAUUUUGUUAAAUACAAUCAAAUCUUUAACAUUUAGUCUUAUGUAGUGUUUUUCUCAAUUCACAAGCCUAUUUUAAAAAGUGUUAUUUAUUUGAUUAUGGAAGUAAUAUUAGCCGGCAGCUUACAUAAGUGUAUGUUUAGUUCUUCAUAGAGGUUGCAAAUAGUCUGAGAGACUAGUUAAGUAAAGUGAAAUGAUAAGCUCAAAGCUAGAAAUACUAGAUCUUCAUUGUAUUAGAGAAAAAGGAGUUAGACACACCACUACUCUUGACGUGGUACAUAACUAUGUAUAGGCUUGUAGCUUAUUGGAUAGCACUGAUCUUCAUCAUAUGCUAAGCAUUCUAAAAUAUA